This 652-nucleotide ribosomal RNA is filed under the name Lactobacillus jensenii. RNAcentral's name for it is "bacterial SSU rRNA". It matches the Rfam family "Bacterial small subunit ribosomal RNA", at positions 32 to 651 of the family's 1533-position model. Lineage: Bacteria; Bacillati; Bacillota; Bacilli; Lactobacillales; Lactobacillaceae. The record is from RNAcentral.
AACGCUGGCGGCGUGCCUAAUACAUGCAAGUCGAGCGAGCUUGCCUAUAGAAGUUCUUCGGAAUGGAAAUAGAUACAAGCUAGCGGCGGAUGGGUGAGUAACGCGUGGGUAACCUGCCCUUAAGUCUGGGAUACCAUUUGGAAACAGAUGCUAAUACCGGAUAAAAGCUACUUUCGCAUGAAAGAAGUUUAAAAGGCGGCGUAAGCUGUCGCUAAAGGAUGGACCUGCGAUGCAUUAGCUAGUUGGUAAGGUAACGGCUUACCAAGGCGAUGAUGCAUAGCCGAGUUGAGAGACUGAUCGGCCACAUUGGGACUGAGACACGGCCCAAACUCCUACGGGAGGCAGCAGUAGGGAAUCUUCCACAAUGGACGAAAGUCUGAUGGAGCAACGCCGCGUGAGUGAAGAAGGUUUUCGGAUCGUAAAGCUCUGUUGUUGGUGAAGAAGGAUAGAGGUAGUAACUGGCCUUUAUUUGACGGUAAUCAACCAGAAAGUCACGGCUAACUACGUGCCAGCAGCCGCGGUAAUACGUAGGUGGCAAGCGUUGUCCGGAUUUAUUGGGCGUAAAGCGAGCGCAGGCGGAUUGAUAAGUCUGAUGUGAAAGCCUUCGGCUCAACCGAAGAACUGCAUCAGAAACUGUCAAUCUUGAGUGCAG